AGCAGCCGCGGUAAUUCCAGCUCCAAUAGCGUAUAUUAAAGUUGUUGCAGUUAAAAAGCUCGUAGUUGAAUUUCGGGGUUAGUAGGUUGGUCAUGCCUCUGGUAUGUACUGGUCUCACUGAUUCCUCCUUCCUGAUGAACCUUAAUGCCAUUAAUUUGGUGUUUUGGGGAAUUUGGACUGUUACUUUGAAAAAAUUAGAGUGUUUAAAGCAAGCUAACGCUUGAAUACAUUAGCAUGGAAUAAUGAAAUAGGACGUUCGAUCCUAUUUUGUUGGUUUCUAGGAUUGACGUAAUGAUUAAUAGGGAUAGUUGGGGGCAUUAGUAUUCAAUUGUCAGAGGUGAAAUUCUUGGAUUUAUUGAAGACUAACUACUGCGAAAGCAUUUGCCAAGGAUGUUUUCAUUAAUCAAGAACGAAAGUUAGGGGAUCGAAGACGAUCAGAUACCGUCGUAGUCUUAACCAUAAACUAUGCCGACUAGGGAUCGGAUGAUGUUAACUUUUUAAUGACUCAUUCGGCGCCUUACG
RNAcentral lists this ribosomal RNA (522 nucleotides) under uncultured Glomeromycotina. Its description in RNAcentral is "SSU rRNA". It matches the Rfam family "Eukaryotic small subunit ribosomal RNA", at positions 569 to 1092 of the family's 1831-position model. Lineage: Eukaryota; Fungi; Glomeromycota. The record is from RNAcentral.